CAAAUUGAUUGUACAUUUUAAAAAGAACCGAACAAAAGUUCCCUCUAAUCUGUUUGUAUCUUAUCUGUCCCCGUUUUGUGACAAGUAAUAUCCGCUGGUAAUUAUAACCACUUCAACAGUUAUGCAAAUGACAAUAUUACUCAUUUGCUGAUCUUGAGCAACAUCCGUAGGUGAUAAGGGAUAUCUUUUUACUAAGCGCAUACGAUACAGUCCGACCCCCGCUGAAUAUUUGACGAACAUAAUAUGCAUACGUCAUAUAUUUUCACCAC
This 269-nucleotide long non-coding RNA is filed under the name Mytilus galloprovincialis (Mediterranean mussel). Lineage: Eukaryota; Metazoa; Mollusca; Bivalvia; Mytilida; Mytilidae. The record is from RNAcentral.